GAUGAACGCUGGCGGCGCGCCUAAUACAUGCAAGUCGAGCGAACGGACGAGAAGCUUGCUUCUCUGAUGUUAGCGGCGGACGGGUGAGUAACACGUGGAUAACCUACCUAUAAGACUGGGAUAACUUCGGGAAACCGGAGCUACUACCGGAUAAUAUUUUGAACCGCAUGGUUCAAAAGUGAAAGACGGUCUUGCUGUCACUUAUAGAUGGAUCCGCGCUGCAUUAGCUAGUUGGUAAGGUAACGGCUUACCAAGGCAACGAUGCAUAGCCGACCUGAGAGGGUGAUCGGCCACACUGGAACUGAGACACGGUCCAGACUCCUACGGGAGGCAGCAGUAGGGAAUCUUCCGCAAUGGGCGAAAGCCUGACGGAGCAACGCCGCGUGAGUGAUGAAGGUCUUCGGAUCGUAAAACUCUGUUAUUAGGGAAGAACAUAUGUGUAAGUAACUGUGCACAUCUUGACGGUACCUAAUCAGAAAGCCACGGCUAACUACGUG
This 497-nucleotide ribosomal RNA is filed under the name uncultured bacterium. RNAcentral describes it as "partial 16S ribosomal RNA". It matches the Rfam family "Bacterial small subunit ribosomal RNA", at positions 28 to 507 of the family's 1533-position model. The record is from RNAcentral.